Aedes aegypti (yellow fever mosquito) is the source of this 1230-nucleotide long non-coding RNA. RefSeq lists it as uncharacterized. The record is from RefSeq and is a predicted model, not a curated record. Lineage: Eukaryota; Metazoa; Arthropoda; Insecta; Diptera; Culicidae. The transcript is spliced from 3 exons.
CGGUCUUCCUUUCACAUCAACGCUGGACAGCGAAAACUAAAAGCGAACGAGUAGUGAAGUGACUGUCAGAGAGUCAGCACGCUGCUGACUAGAGCGAAAUCGGCCUUCAGUGCAAAAACGGUCAAUCGCAACCGGAAAAACCAUCUGCUUGCACGGCAUAGUGCAACAAAUCCGCACAAGGUGAGUCUAAAGCCUGAACAUGACAAUCAUCACCACAUGCUAAGGUGUAAUCCCGCAAUUAUUAGACCAUCGCCAUACUGAGCCGGCGGCACACAAUUUCCCCAAUCCACGAAGAACACACGUGCACCAUCCGGAAUAAAGCGCCGAAGCAGCUCCAAACCAGUUCGGAACAGAGAAAGGACUAGCUCCAACAAGCGACAGAGCCAGUCGGAACAGUCCGAAUUAGAAUCGCGUCUCGUGCAUGCGGCACCCGACACAGGAAGGAUUCCGGGUAUCACGCAGUCCACCAGUUGCCCAAAAUUGGACACCACCGCACUGUAUUGCAAUAAAAAACAUCGGUGAGUAAUGCCCGGCAACAAUGAGAGAUGCGAAUUAACGAGAUGCUUUUCUGUCAAAUUCAGUCAGGUCAAAAGGGCACGUAAAUAAUCCCCGAAGAAGGCCGACACUCUCCAGAUUGGCAUCCGGUUGCCCUCAUAAGCUGUGUGGAAUCGAAAAGCCUUCGUUACGAAGUGAGUAACUACUCUCACACACCUGGUGAUACAUGGAGACUAAAAUGUGCACGCAUCAGGGCUUUUCUUUUUUGUUUCACAGCCUGCGACCUUUCGUAGCGGAGACAUCUCGGACGGUAGGGAGUUUUGGUUGGUGCAGAAUUGAGCGCGACGGAUCGGAGCAAGCGUUUACCACUGUGCGAAGCGCGACAGUAGCUUGGGACCGAUAGGGAAGGACCACUUCUUCCGGCUCAGAGGCCGCCAGCCAAGAUAGGAAGUACUCCGAGCAGCGGCGUCGCACGUAAGAGACCGGAGCAAGCGUUCACCGGCGUGUGAAGCUUGGAGCGCUUUGGAAAGGACCAUUUCUUCCGGUUCAGAGGCCGCCUGUCAGGAUAGACUAUCACUCCAAGGAGCGAGGCGCCACCGCCGCAAUUUCGCUGGCGACCUCCUUUGAAGAUUUGCCCGAGCAGCGUCACACUCGUUUCUGGCCCACGCCCAGAGACAUGGAUGCCUCAAGGAAGCAGCGAGAAAGCAGGGUGCACCCAUGCAGGCGCGCGUGAGU